Long non-coding RNA from Misgurnus anguillicaudatus (oriental weatherfish), 1601 nucleotides. RefSeq lists it as uncharacterized. The record is from RefSeq and is a predicted model, not a curated record. NCBI's taxonomy places the organism in Eukaryota, Metazoa, Chordata, Actinopteri, Cypriniformes, Cobitidae.
AGAUGUCUGUGAGAUGCUGUGACGGCAUACUGAUGAGCUCUCAGGAUGAUUUUAUGUAGAAAACAGCUGCAUUUUCACAGACUGAGUCAUGUGUGUCUAUUGAAGUCUCAGCAGGAUUGACAGGUGUUACCCAUAAAGAAACCCCUACUCGGGACCCUAAUUUAACCACAGUCAACACUUGUCUAAGAGUAAGACCAAACGACAGAGGGUGGGAGAACUGAGAGGAGAUUUUCUCCAGAUGCAGCCUUUUCAUGCUGGAGAAAGGCCAGGUUAAAUGCACUCAUGCUUUAGCUAUUUUGUGGGCAGCCUAGUUGUUGGAGGCGGGACCUAAAGUUACAGAGUUAAAAAAAAAAGAUCUUCCAUCCUUCUGUUUCGUUGCUAGUCUCUGGACUUUAAUGUGCAAAGAUGUUUCAGCUGGCUACAUCUCUCCAGAUGUGUUGCAUAUGAUAAAGCUGAUAUAGAGUCUUCAACAAGCACAGAAAUGCUAAAAUCCUUAUUUUAUAAUUUUUUUAGCAGAGACAGACUCUCAAUGUAUUUAAGAGAGUUGAGAGUUGUUAAGCACAAGGAGUCGCCUUUUACAAUAACAUUGACCGUGAUUUUCCACUGCGAGAGCUCUUGGAGACUAAGGGGGAGGGAUGAGACAAAGGAAGCUGGAAAAAAAUGAAUUCGUCUGCAGUUCUCUGAGCUGGAAUUUCUGGCAUCAUCAUCAUCAUCCAGACUUCUGAAUGUAACCGAAUGGAUGGGCAACAGAGAACCAGAAUUUCGUUCUGAAAACUUGCUUUAUUGUAGGGGCCGUGUGCUUGUUGGAAACUUUCAUUUGGUGGCAAUCUUUUUGUAUAUUCAUCACUUGUUUUCAUGGUAACCAAUCCCAAAAAAAGAAAAAAGAAAUGAUUACAAAGCUGUCUGAGUGCGCUUUUAGUCAUCUGAUCUUCAGACGAUCUUUGUUGAUUAAUGACAUCACAAAUAUCUUGAUGAUGUCAUUUUACAAGGUUAUUCAGACCUCCCACAGGAUUUUUAGUACUGGCAGUGGUGUGAAAAAACAGAGCGGUGCCUCUUUAAAUCCUGUGUGCCCUCCAUUUACACGUUAUGUCUUCCAGGUGUCUGUAGGGCUUUUUGUGGCCCUUUGUGAUGACUUUCUUUACCCUGAUACUAAAUUUACUUUUUAUUUACUUGCAAGGCAACAUUUUUAAAUGCUAAGAUAUCUCAAAACUCUUUGGACUGCUGUUUCCAAAAUAUGAUCAAAUUAAGUUACUUACAAAAGCAGACGGAUAUUAAUCUAAACCUUGCACGAUAAAGCAUGAUAGACAAACAGGAGUCUCAUAUGUCGCCUAUAAACUCAUGUAAAAUAUUUCAGUUUUUGAGAAUGGCCAGUAUAUGUAAGCAGCUUUGUCCACAGACUGACACCAUGGAAAAUGUGACAGUGCAGAUAUUCAGCAUGUGGAAAACCCACAUUACAGGCAGGGGGCUGAUGAACACCACCCAAAAAUUUGAAAGAUGAAAGAACAACUCGGACAUUAACAAAACAAACAAAAUGAUAAUUUCGGCUAUUAAUCAAUGAGUUAAAAUUACACUGUUAAACAUUUCUGUAGAAAUUACAGCUG